Molecule: ribosomal RNA, 458 nt
Filed under: Nesippus orientalis
Lineage: Eukaryota; Metazoa; Arthropoda; Copepoda; Siphonostomatoida; Pandaridae
Description: partial 16S ribosomal RNA
Rfam family: Bacterial large subunit ribosomal RNA
Source: RNAcentral
UCGCCUGUUUAACAAAAACAUAGCUAAACAAAAUUUAGUGUAUCUGCCCCCUGAUAACUUUUUAAGGCAUCCACUAAGGUAGCAAAAUAAUUAGUCUUUUAAUUGGAGACUAGAAUGAAGACAGUAUUACCCCGAAAAAUCUAUUCUAUAUAUAUGAAAUUAGGCCCUAGGUGAAAACCCCUAGCUAGCCCCCGCAGACGAUAAGACCCUAGAACCUUUACUAAGUUUAGCUGGGAUAGCUCUAUUAAUACAACAAAUUACAAAUAAUCAUCUAUAACCAGUCUUACCGCUCUUAAAAGAAGGUACUCUAGGGAUAACAGCGCUACUCAGCCCACAAGUCCAAAUUUAAGGCUGAUUUAGUGACCUCGAUGUUGAAUUAAGUUCCUCACCCCCGCAACAGGGUCCUGAGGCUAAGUCUGUUCGACUUACCAAACUUACGUGAUCUGAGUUCAGACCGG